Long non-coding RNA from Callithrix jacchus (white-tufted-ear marmoset), 2023 nucleotides. The record is from Ensembl. Lineage: Eukaryota; Metazoa; Chordata; Mammalia; Primates; Cebidae.
GGGACAUGUGAAGAACAUGCAACUCUCACUCAUAGGCGGAAGUUUAUUUUUAUUUUUCCUUCUGUGAAUAAAAGUAGGGCCUCAUGAGAUUAGGUGAGUUCAGUUCUUGAAAAAUAAACUAACAUUUCAGAGUGGUGAAGUACAGAAGGUAAAGUAUAAAGGAAAUAAAAAUCACCAGAAUGCAGAUACAAACGUGGAUAAUCAUAACACAUUCAGGAAGCCUGUGACUACCUGUGCUAUUUCCAGAGAGUAUCCUCAGAGUAUUAUAGCACGUCAUGUAUUUCUUCACAUAUGGGAAACUUCAGACAAUCUUAGAUAACUUUAGUUUCCAGAUCACUGCUUUAUAAUAAAACACAGUCAAAUAAUCUCAAAGUUCUUAAUAAUUAAUAUCAAGAGAAUUCAUAUUGACUGAGGAAGUUAUAUAUAUUUUAGAAAGAUUUGAUCUAGUUAUUUACAUUUUCCUAAACCUUUGCAUAGGUUUUUACACAGCUACGACUUUAAUUCCAUGGAAGCCAGGAAAUAUGGAAGAUCACUUGAGUAUGCGUUAAGCACUGUCUUUGGCACAAAUGCUUCAUGGGGUGGAAAAAUACACGGACUAAGGACCUUCCAACCUGGAUCUCAGUGGCUGAUGUUUUCUGAUAGUGUCUGCUCUACAUUCCUCUGCUCCUUAUUUGAAGAAAAGAAAAGAUUCAGACUAAAAAAAGCAAAGAAAAAAAACAGUCUGUAAGUGUGUGAAACUAUUGAAUUACAGUUGAUUUUUCGAUUUAAAUUUUGUCUUUGGUUAUCACAUGAGUAUAUAUUUAUAAAUAAAUUGAUAUGGAAAUAAAUAUGUUUAUGUUUGUUUCCUUGGUAAAAUCAACAGUCUCUUUAAAAGUGCCAAAUUUUUUUCCUGAAAAUUACUAUAUCUACAUAAUCAUUUGCCAGUAAAGGAGUGAAGGGCAUGCCAUCCCCCAAUAUUCCAAAAAUUGGAAUAUUGAUUACUUUGAAUUAAAAACAUAGGCGCAAUGGUUGUUUCAGGAAAGCCCAGCUGACCAGUGUCUUCCUGCAUGCACAAAGCCAUAAAGACACCUUGGGAGGUGACCCUCUGUGCACCAGCUGAGAAAAUAGCCCUUACACCAGACGCUGGGAUCUGGGCUGCAAUGGAUCUGAACGAAUAGUUACUGGUGUAACACUUCUACGACUCUUACACCCUUCAUAUACCUCCUACUGACUCAUCCAAAAAUUUAUGUGUUCCUUUAUGAUAUGCUUUGCCAAUUGGAAGAUAGUGAAGAUUGGUUGUAGAGUAAAAAUAAAAAAUCUUUAUGCAAUUGGAUUGACAAUAUAGAAUGAAAACUUUAGAGUUAGCCUUAUCCCUUGGUACCAUUGAUAGAUGUUCCAAGUUGCAGUCUAAGCAGUAACCCAAAAGAAAGGGGGAUAAAAAACAUAUAGAUGGUGGGUUUUUUCCUCAAGGUUCUUUGUAAUGUAUAACAAGAGGAACUAUUACAGAUAUUACAUUGUUACCAUGGAAUACAAUACAACCGUCAGGGUGAUCUCAGAGACCAUGUUAAUUGACAGGCCAAUGUCAUGUUUUGCAAAUUUUAUAAAAUGUACAUAAGAGACAGUAAAAUGGAAUAGUUAUUAAAUUAUUAGGAGAGAUCCAGAUGCUUUGUUUAUAAAAUGCUAUGAAUUGUGAUGCAAUUCUUAAAAUUGUGGAAAUAAUUUUGUAAAUAAAAAAAUAAAUAAAAUGUCCUCCCUGGCAACAAAGGUUUUCUUAAUUCUGGCAGAUUAUUACAAUGCUGUAGUACAUGACCAAGACGUAAACAUUCACUCAUUAACUGAAGUAUUGCUCUGCAUGUGAGCUAGCCGGGAAACUUCAGAGAACGCCAUGCCAUGUUGUACGCACUCAGUCUCAGAGUCUCAGCACUAAUCUGCAUCAGGAGGAGUCACCACAAAGAAACUUCCUAGUGUUACAUGGCUCUGGCCCCGUGAAUCACCAUGUAGAUCUCACUGGUGUUUGUGUUCCUGGUAUAAAGGCAAGGCACCA